GUCCCUUCUUUCCGCUCCAACGCACGGAGGGUGAGGUCGGUACGCGGUGGUGGCGUCACGGCGCCAGCUCCUCCCGACGCCGAGGUGGGUUCCGGGAGACCCGCGGGUCUGGCUGCGAGAGACCAUGGGGGCUCAGCUAAGCGGCGGCCGCGGCGCCCCGGAGCCUGCGCAAACCCAGCCCCAGCCCCAGCCCCAGCCUGCGGCGCCGGAGGGCCCGGAACAGCCCCGGCAUCCGCCCCAGCCCCAGCCCCAGCCCCAGCCCCAGCCCCAGCCCGAGCCCAGCCCGUGGGGGCCGCUGGACGACGUGCGCUUCCUCAUCGCCUGCACUUCCUGGUACUGACGGCGUCCUCCGCAGGAUGUCGCCCGUCUGUCCGCCGUCCCCUGUGGUUCUUGCCUGCCUUGUCUCCUCUCCCCACGUCCCUGCGUCUCUUACACCCCCUCCCACCCGAGGCUCCCCAGAGAUAGCAGAGAAUUCGAAGAGGUCGCCGGGGACUGGAAAGAAGUCCCGGCAGGGCCGCCUUCGCAGUCUACACCCCAGCCUGCUUCCCAGCCUACACCCAGACCCAGCUCAGACCUUCGUGACCACCCCAUCCCUUUCUCCGGCUGGCUGGGUCGGGGGCAUCCCUCUCUGUCGCUGGCUUCCAGAGGCAGGACAGGCCUCCUGGUAAGCCCGCAAAGUUGCUGACCUCCUGACUUCGUCUGCCUUUUAUUA
This 712-nucleotide long non-coding RNA is filed under the name Homo sapiens (human). RNAcentral describes it as "non-protein coding lnc-MMP24OS-73:6". The record is from RNAcentral. Lineage: Eukaryota; Metazoa; Chordata; Mammalia; Primates; Hominidae.